RNAcentral lists this ribosomal RNA (240 nucleotides) under uncultured bacterium. Its description in RNAcentral is "partial 16S ribosomal RNA". It matches the Rfam family "Bacterial small subunit ribosomal RNA", at positions 117 to 353 of the family's 1533-position model. The record is from RNAcentral.
GUGAGGAACCUGCCUUGGAGAGGGGGAAUAACACUCCGAAGGGAGUGCUAAUACCGCAUGAUGCAGUUGAGUCGCAUGGCUCUGACUGCCAAAGAUUUAUCGCUCUGAGAUGGCCUCGCGUCUGAUUAGCUAGUAGGCGGGGUAACGGCCCACCUAGGCGACGAUCAGUAGCCGGACUGAGAGGUUGACCGGCCACAUUGGGACUGAGACACGGCCCAGACUCCUACGGGAGGCAGCAUG